Molecule: transfer RNA, 74 nt
Filed under: Cimex lectularius (bed bug)
Lineage: Eukaryota; Metazoa; Arthropoda; Insecta; Hemiptera; Cimicidae
Description: tRNA-Gly
Rfam family: tRNA
About the family: Transfer RNA (tRNA) molecules are approximately 80 nucleotides in length. Their secondary structure includes four short double-helical elements and three loops (D, anti-codon, and T loops). Further hydrogen bonds mediate the characteristic L-shaped molecular structure. tRNAs have two regions of fundamental functional importance: the anti-codon, which is responsible for specific mRNA codon recognition, and the 3' end, to which the tRNAs corresponding amino acid is attached (by aminoacyl-tRNA synthetases). tRNAs cope with the degeneracy of the genetic code in two manners: having more than one tRNA (with a specific anti-codon) for a particular amino acid; and 'wobble' base-pairing, i.e. permitting non-standard base-pairing at the 3rd anti-codon position.
Source: Rfam by way of RNAcentral
GUCUCGAUAGCUCAAUUGGUAAGAGCAGCGGCGUACCUAGCCGAAGGUCGUGGGUUCGAAUCCCGCUCGUGACA